CCAAGCCCCGGUCCUCUCCCGGGAGAUCUCCAGUAGUCCUGAGCCUCUCCCAGGCGAAAGCCCGGUCAGUGGAGCCGGUCGCGGCAGCUGGCGGGCUGGCCCGCCGUUUGGGAGAGCCUCCAGGUGUUGUGGAGGCUGGGCGGGGCCUCUCCAAUAAUGGCAGGCAAAGACCCUGUCUGCUGCCGGGGAUGGGACUUCAGAGUUUCUCCCCCAGGUCGCGUUGCCAGCUGCUGAAGCUCCACCCAGCCCCGGGACCUCUCCCAGAUCUUCAGUAGUCCUGAUCCCCUCCCGGGCGAGAGCCCGGUCAGGGGAGCCAGCGGCGGCAGCUGGUGGGCCGGCGCGCCGCUUGAGAUUCUCUCCGGGGGCCCCCAGGUGUUGUGGGUGCUGGGCGGGGCCUCUCCGAUAAUGGCAGGGAAAGACUCUGCCUGCGGCCAGGACUGAACUCUAGAGUUUCUCCCCCGGGCCGUGUAGCCAAUCGCUGGAGCUCCACUCAGCCCCAGACCUCUCCCAGGAGAUCUCCGGUAGUCUCGAUCCCCUCCUGGACGAAAACCAGGUCAGGGGAGCCGGCGGCGGCAGCUGGUGGGCCAGCGCGCCGCUUGGGAUUCUCUCCGGGGGGCCCCCAGGCUUUGUGGAUGCUGGACGGGACCUCUCUGCUAAUGGCAGGCUAAAACACUGAUGAAUCAUUGAACUAAUGAGGCCAGUGUUCUAUAGGAUGGAAGACAAAGAAGAUGGAAGGAACCUGGUUCUCUGGUUCCACAUGGAGAGGAGCCACACUGCCAAUCCAGACACCCACCUCAGUGCUGUCACCAGAGACAGAAACAAACUUUUAAACUUUAAAUAUUUAAACUUUAAAUAGAGUAAACAUAGUCCUGAUUUUCUUAGAACGGUCCUGUCUUAUGCCUGUUGUCUUGGCAUAAUUAUAAAUGGCAUUCUCUUUCACUAUCAAAAUAAAUUGCAUGAUAAACCUCUUUUAAUUCGAUGUACCAUGCCACCUCUUCAUAUUAGCAGCUUAGAUUCUCUACAACCAAUAUAGAAAUUGGUGCCUAACAUAUGUGUGAUUAGCAGUCCUGUGGUGGGAGGUGAGGGCAGGUCUAGAUCAGCUUAGAAGACUAGAGACCCUUGUUAUACACUGGUAAGAGUUGAUAAAAUUGUCCCCUGUGGUAACUUGAAAGGCAGACCACGUGUACCUACCAAACCUGCAGCCGUAGUGCCAGAAUGUUAAUCGGUGUUGGUAGUCCUUGCUGCAUUUAGCAAGGUAUUACAAGGAAGAAGUAACCACAGGCAAGAAUUGGCAAGUUGAAAAGCAGAGAUAGAACAGAUGAGGUUGGAAAUACCUUCUGCUUCUAUAUACCAAACAACAGUGGAUUCAUAACUGUCAUUUUUCAGAGCCUUUCUCAAAGACCUACCAUUAAGCAAAAAGAUCAAUUAAGAGUUUUACCUUGACACAUAAACUCAUGUUUCAGAUGUCCUCAAAAUAGGUGGCUUUAAAAUAAGGAAGAGAGGGAUGGAGUCUGGAAGCCAGCAAAGAAGGUGGGCCUAAGAGCUAUGUGCAGAAAAGGGUUUGGCGUAUGGUGACUGGAACCAGGGACUAACUGGAAGGAAUAAAACUGCUAAGAAGUCUACUAAAUUUUUGAAGUCACAAACGUGGCUUACAAAUGCCUGUGACUACUUGAGCCCCAUGAGGCAUAUACUCCACAUCCACUUCAGAUAUUAGCAUGGACCCAGUGAACAAAGAAGACCCUCCCAGAUGGCACAGCCAGGGGCCCAGGAAGGUGAUGAUCAAGAGAGUAGCUCUGAGAGAAGCAGAACCACUGGUGGGAGGAUGGACCAGCCAAGCACGCGUUCGAUUGUCAAGACAGAGACUCAACACGAUUCCCGCACAGUUAAGGACAGCGAAUUUGCAUUUUGUUCUUCCCUUUUCCCAACUGAAGCCUUAUUGCAGGUCAUAGAUGUCUUGUGAGUAAUGCUGAAUAGACUAUUCAAGAAACCAGGUGCUUCUUCUUUGAAAUUCUCAUUGUCAUAAGGGAAGUUGAGACAACAACUCCUCCAGAUUCUCAUUUUGCCUACAACUUGAUGCCACCUUGUGUCCAGCCUAGCUCUUGAUGCCUCCAGGAUUUGCUUCCCAAGCAGUUGUUCGGGGCUCCUUUACACGGCAUGUCUGUGAUCUGAAUUGUCCAUGAUGGCUUUUAGCCUUGGAAGGCUGCCGCAGCACAGAAUUUCAUUCCUCCCUCAUGUAUCCUCUGAGCUAUUGUCUGAGUUUGGACAGCAGCAAAUUAGUCAUCUCUGGACAGGGGUUGUACUGCUCUAGGAUGCAGAAAUUUGUGAGGCUACUGUGGAGGGAGAAGAUUGACCCAGCUGGAAGAGAAGUGAGAAAGUGGUAUAUAAAGAUACGCCCUGUUUUAACAGGGUUCCCCUCAACUACAACCAGACAAGUAGAUUAAAUACAAGUAGUUUUGGGGUGAAUCUCAGGAGACAGCAUAAGAAGGUGAGGAAGUGGAUUUGAAAGGGUCAGAAGCCAAUAAAGUGUGUGCUGUGAAGUCACCACUAAAGGCAACUGAGGCUCAGUCUUUACAGGGUAGUUUGGGAGAUGGUGAAUGAGAUGAAAUUGAGUUUUUAGAUCCCAACUGUUUUAACAUUGAUAAAAGUGUUAGAAAACGCAUUUCAGAGUGAUGUUUGCAAAAUAUGGAUCAUAUACCGAAUAUCAAGAGAAUAUAUGGAACUCACAGCAGAUUCAGAUUUGAAUGAUUUCCUGAGUGCCAGGCACUGUGUCACCUUUCACAAAGAUUUUUUGUUUAACCCUCACAAUAAUCUGGUAAAGUAGGUACAGUUGUCCCCAUUUUUACAUAUAAAGAACCUGGAGCUUGGGGCCAGGCCAGUGGCAUGGUGGUUAUGUUCACACACUCCGCCUUGACUGCCCAGGGUUUUUGGGUUCAAAUCCUGGGCGUGGACCUACACACCGCUCCUCAAGCUGUGCUGUGGAGGUGUCCCACAUACAAAAUCAAGGAAGAUUGGCACAGAUGUUAGCUUUGGGCCAAUCUUCCACACACACACACAAAAAAGAAACUGGAGCUCAGAGAAGAUAAAUGCCUUACGAAAUAUGAUACAGCUAGUAUAAAGGAGAUCUUGGAUUAUAUUCAGAUUUCCUAACUCCAAAUAUAGUGAGAGGCAAAAGAGAACAUUGGAAAGAACAGGAGUUUUGGAGUCUUAUUUUUGUUAUACUCAGUUGAUGGUCAGGAAAAUAUCCAAAUCUCAACAACCAGUAAUGGAGUGGGUAUCUACACAGCAGAGCAGCUGCAGGCCAAUACGUGGAACAGAUUGUCUGCCUGCACAUCAGCCCUGCAUGUAACCUUGGACAAACUCCUUCACUUCUCUGGGCUUCACUUUCUUCAUCUGUAAAGUGGGUAUGUAAUAUCUACCAUAAAAGCUAAACACUUUGUCCAUUGUCAAGGCUAAAUAAAUUCAGUUCUAUUGCAUUCGUUCCAAUGCACAUAUUUGAUGCUCUAACACCUUGGUAAAUUCUCAAAUAAGUCUGUUCCUGUUGUAAAUACCAACAUCAGCAGUGAAUAGGGCACGUCAAAGAAAUCAACUACUUCCGCAUACCUAAAGCUAGAGGUUAGUAUUGAGAGAAACAACUACCACAACUUUAUCGAACGUAAAUGUAAAAGCUAGCAUUUACACUUGUCUAAGUUCUUCCUUCAAGUGCCAUGAUAAUGAC
This 3715-nucleotide long non-coding RNA is filed under the name Equus caballus (horse). RNAcentral's name for it is "lncRNA (ENSECAG00000045837.1)". Lineage: Eukaryota; Metazoa; Chordata; Mammalia; Perissodactyla; Equidae. The record is from RNAcentral.